RNAcentral lists this transfer RNA (65 nucleotides) under Brephilydia jejuna. Its description in RNAcentral is "tRNA-Glu". It matches the Rfam family "tRNA". From Rfam's summary of the family: Transfer RNA (tRNA) molecules are approximately 80 nucleotides in length. Lineage: Eukaryota; Metazoa; Arthropoda; Insecta; Coleoptera; Cerambycidae. The record is from RNAcentral.
AUUCAUAUAGUUUAAAAAAAACAUUACAUUUUCACUGUAAAAUUAGGACCCCUUCUUUAUGAAUA